RNAcentral lists this ribosomal RNA (497 nucleotides) under uncultured bacterium. RNAcentral's name for it is "partial 16S ribosomal RNA". It matches the Rfam family "Bacterial small subunit ribosomal RNA", at positions 28 to 507 of the family's 1533-position model. The record is from RNAcentral.
GACGAACGCUGGCGGCGUGCCUAAUACAUGCAAGUUGAGCGCUGAAGGUUGGUACUUGUCCCAACUGGCUGAGCAGCGAACGGGUGAGUAACGCGUGGGGAAUCUGCCUUUGAGCGGGGGACAACAUUUGGAAACGAAUGCUAAUACCGCAUAAAAACUUUAAACACAAGUUUUAAGUUUGAAAGAUGCAAUUGCAUCACUCAAAGAUGAUCCCGCGUUGUAUUAGCUAGUUGGUGAGGUAAAGGCUCACCAAGGCGAUGAUACAUAGCCGACCUGAGAGGGUGAUCGGUCACAUUGGGACUGAGACACGGCCCAAACUCCUACGGGAGGCAGCAGUAGGGAAUCUUCGGCAAUGGACGAAAGUCUGACCGAGCAACGCCGCGUGAGUGAAGAAGGUUUUCGGAUCGUAAAACUCUGUUGGUAGAGAAGAACGUUGGUGAGAGUGGAAAGCUCAUCAAGUGACGGUAACUACCCAGAAAGGGACGGCUAACUACGUG